This 276-nucleotide long non-coding RNA is filed under the name Lathyrus oleraceus (garden pea). RNAcentral describes it as "Pisum sativum (pea) long non-coding RNA (PSAT_LNC001735)". Lineage: Eukaryota; Viridiplantae; Streptophyta; Magnoliopsida; Fabales; Fabaceae. The record is from RNAcentral.
UUCCCCUUGCGUAAUCGACUCUCGAACCCAUAUUUGGUUGCGACGACCAUAAUCGUUAUCAUUUGUUCUUGUGUUUUAUUGAUAUUUCCCCUUUCCUUUUAGGAAUAAAUAAAGUUCGGUGGCGACUCUGUUUAGCCCAUCAUUGCGAGCAUGUGAUUGCGCUUCACUAGGUCGUGUUCUCAUUUUUUUUAGCUACGACAGAUUCCUCUCACUAUUGCUGGUAAAACUCAUGUGUAUAUGGGUCAUUUUCCUAACCCUAAUGUUGAUGCUGAAAAA